RNAcentral lists this ribosomal RNA (1155 nucleotides) under Salmonella enterica. RNAcentral describes it as "partial 23S ribosomal RNA". It matches the Rfam family "Bacterial large subunit ribosomal RNA", at positions 1 to 1188 of the family's 2925-position model. The record is from RNAcentral. Lineage: Bacteria; Pseudomonadati; Pseudomonadota; Gammaproteobacteria; Enterobacterales; Enterobacteriaceae.
GGGUUGUGAGGUUAAGCGACUAAGCGUACACGGUGGAUGCCCUGGCAGUCAGAGGCGAUGAAGGACGUGCUAAUCUGCGAUAAGCGCCGGUAAGGUGAUAUGAACCGUUAUAACCGGCGAUUUCCGAAUGGGGAAACCCAGUGUGACUCGUCACACUAUCAUUAACUGAAUCCAUAGGUUAAUGAGGCGAACCGGGGGAACUGAAACAUCUAAGUACCCCGAGGAAAAGAAAUCAACCGAGAUUCCCCCAGUAGCGGCGAGCGAACGGGGAGGAGCCCAGAGCCUGAAUCAGCAUGUGUGUUAGUGGAAGCGUCUGGAAAGGCGCGCGAUACAGGGUGACAGCCCCGUACACAAAAGCGCAUGUGUUGUGAGCUCGAUGAGUAGGGCGGGACACGUGGUAUCCUGUCUGAAUAUGGGGGGACCAUCCUCCAAGGCUAAAUACUCCUGACUGACCGAUAGUGAACCAGUACCGUGAGGGAAAGGCGAAAAGAACCCCGGCGAGGGGAGUGAAAAAGAACCUGAAACCGUGUACGUACAAGCAGUGGGAGCACCCUUUGGGGUGUGACUGCGUACCUUUUGUAUAAUGGGUCAGCGACUUAUAUUCUGUAGCAAGGUUAACCGAAUAGGGGAGCCGGAGGGAAACCGAGUCUUAAUUGGGCGUUAAGUUGCAGGGUAUAGACCCGAAACCCGGUGAUCUAGCCAUGGGCAGGUUGAAGGUUGGGUAACACUAACUGGAGGACUGAACCGACUAAUGUUGAAAAAUUAGCGGAUGACCUGUGGCUGGGGGUGAAAGGCCAAUCAAACCGGGAGAUAGCUGGUUCUCCCCGAAAGCUAUUUAGGUAGCGCCUCGUGAAUUCAUCUCCGGGGGUAGAGCACUGUUUCGGCUAGGGGGCCAUCCCGGCUUACCAACCCGAUGCAAACUGCGAAUACCGGAGAAUGUUAUCACGGGAGACACACGGCGGGUGCUAACGUCCGUCGUGAAGAGGGAAACAACCCAGACCGCCAGCUAAGGUCCCAAAGUCAUGGUUAAGUGGGAAACGAUGUGGGAAGGCCCAGACAGCCAGGAUGUUGGCUUAGAAGCAGCCAUCAUUUAAAGAAAGCGUAAUAGCUCACUGGUCGAGUCGGCCUGCGCGGAAGAUGUAACGGGGCUAAACU